UAAAACAAUUAAUAAAGCAUAAAAUACAGCUCUAACAUCCAUGUUUCUUGCAUAAUGCCCCAUUCCUAAAUGCAGUACACACGCAAUGUUGUCAAAUGGCGGAUAUGGCGGUGCUAUGGCAGCGCCAUGUUGCUAUUGCAUUUCCACCACAGAACGCCAUGCCAUAGCACCGCCAUAUCCGCUAUUUGAUAACAUUGUUGGUCGUACAUAUCCACUUGAGGUGUUGUCUCCGUGCAGUAUGUUCCUAUAUUUUUUUGUUUUUAUGUGUUCUUAUUAUGUAGCCUGUAGUUUCAGGGGAUUUAAACAUGAACGAGUUGAUUUUAUGUGUUCUUAUUAUGAUCUUAUGUUAAAAUCUAUAAAGUUUUAAGCUUUUUGUGAUUUUCAUUUGACUUUGAGAGGUCGUUUAUAGGAUCUUUUUAACUAGGUCUAAUCAUCAUUAACUGUCUACAAUGAUCUUGUUGCUCCUUGGAAUAUAUACGUAUAUGUAUCAAAUCUUUUGAAAGGAGUGAAUCUUGAUCUGUAUUAUCUAUUUUGUCACCGCCACCAACAGUCUUGUGUUUUCAAUUUAUCAUCUUGUUUCGUGAAAAUCUGCGAAUGUUCUUCUAUUAUUCCUUUUAAUUUCAGCAUUGAAUUGAUAUAGGACCACAGUGCACUAUUGUUCCUCAAGUACUGAGUGAUUACUGUAAGGAUAGAUGAAGGCUGGGUACCUCGAGGUUUUGUGAUCUGACUAAUUUUUGAUCUCUUUACAACUAUCUGACUAUUUUCUUAUCUCCACUGAAAUAUCUGCAUAUUGGUUUUGUUGACUAGGUCUUCUCUUGCCAAACUUCCUUUUGGAGGCUUUCUUGGUUUUCUCCUGACUUCCUUUGCUGUUUCUGCACAAGCUUUUAUCUCUUUUUUUGCAGUUUGCGUAUGUAUUAAGUUUGUUUGUGGUCUCAAUCUUGGUUGUUUGAAAUCCAAUGUGUCUGACGGUCCAAUUAUGUCGAGUCUACAUAUUAUGCUCUGCUUCAGGAUAAAAACUUAUUGUUUUUUCUCAUUGGGAUUUAUGUUGGUGAUUUUAUUGUAACUAGGAUCAUCUCAAGAUUAUUGAAAGGAUUUUACUCUCACAGUUGCUAUUUAUCUUUGGAUUAAUUGCCAUUUCAACUAUAGAGUGAUAUAAGAGCUAGUUGAUCAGCAGAAUACUUGUUGGUAGUCUCUUCACUUUAGAUUAAUGACACUGAAUCUUGUGCAUGCUGGUCUUUUGAUUCUCUUCUUGUUCACGCAUGGAUGUUUUGGAUGUUGAAAACUACCUGGAAGAUCGAGUGCCCUUGGAACAUUUUUGUUUAUCAGGUUUAUAUUUCCCCGUUUGACCUUUAGACUUGUGGUAAUUCAUUUCUACCUAACAAAGUAACUUCACAAUCUUUGUUACAGUGUGGUCCUGUUAUUACUUCUUGGAUUUAAUUUAAUCAAGGUCACAGAUUUUACUGACUGAAGGAAGUCAAUACUCAAUUGGUGAAACAUUAUGGCUCCUUCUUGCACGGGUAGAGAUAAGGAUCGCCUCAAGGUUUGGUGCGUGUUGUCUUCUCAUUCCAAAUACCGCUACCUGCUCUUCAUUGUGAAUUUUUUGGGUGCUUUGGGUAUUCUGUGUUCUUUCUUUGGCUGUUGAUCCUUAAAAAAAUGAUCACUCUUCAUCUUUGGCCAUCCGAAUCGUUUUGGUUUAUCAUCGCUUUGUUCCCAACAUGGUGUUGUAGCUCUUGUGUUAUACUCAGAGAAGUCUUAUUUAUUAGCUCUUAAUUCUUGAUAGGGCUCAACUGGGCUGCUUGGUGAUAUAUUUUGUUUAGGAUCAUAUAAAGAGCAUGUAAUGUAUCAUUUGUCCUGAUGAUGUUGGUCUCUACAUGCACUUGAACUACAGAGUGCUAAUUUGGUUAAAAGAUUAUCAUAAGAGAUUCAACUGCUUGGAAUAUGAAGUAUUUUCACAGUGUCUUCAUGGUUAGAUUGAAUGUAGUGUCAUACUGGUAUUUUUGCAUAGGACAGAAGCUAUUACUGGACUACUAGUUUUGGACAAAGGCAUUUCUUUUUCUGGGUUUAUAGUAUUCUAAAGAUUUUUCUGCUAAGUUGUUCUUCGUCAGAUCUUAUUCAGGAGGCAGUGGAUUUGUUACUGUUGAUUUAAUAUCUUUAUUUGUUCUCUAGUGUUUCUGGUCGUCUAACCUUCACAGAGUACAUUGGUUUAAUAUCUUUAUUUGUUCUCACUUGAGAUGUUUUGGAUGAUGAAAAUUUCUUCCUGCAAAUUGGAAACCAAGUGUGGAACCAAGUGAAGUUAUGGAGAAGAUGUGGAAAAGAUAUCCCCAAACUAUUUAAGCUGUUUAUAUAUCUGGCAGUAGCUAUAUGAAAAAGUUAUCCCCAAUGUAUUCAACAGUUUCUCAUCAGUUUGUGGAAUAUUGCACUAUCAGCUGGUUGAACCUAAGUUCUAGGCAGGCCAGGUAUAUAUACAUGUACAUAUAUAUGGAAAUGAUCUCUCUUAAACUGUUAAGCAGUCUCUCCCCAGUUUGUGGUAUUGCAACAAUCAGCUAUGUGAACCUAUGUUCUUGGUGGGUCAGUUUACAGGUCAGGAACUCUUUGUUUCAAUGACAUUAUCAGUAUGUUUUUGUCUGUUAUGUUCACAUGCGUCCUUACUCACGAUUAUCAAUUUUUGUUUCUGAAUUUUCUUAUCUUUACUAGCGUGCAAUAUCUAUGAAUGUGCAUGUCUACACUGUACUUAGCUUCUCUAUCCUUUCAUUUUGUGUUAUUCAUUGCCGUUCUGGUGUUGCAAGCUGAAAACUUUUGCUGGAAGUUAGUAUGUCGACUGGUUGAGGACUUCACACAUUUGGGCUUUUUUGUGCGGUGUUAUCUUUUCCUCCCAGCUUUUGAUUUGCAGUCUGAUUCAAGCUAUAAGUUCUUAUACUGUCUUCACCUCCAAUACUUUUUUAAUUUGGAACUACUGCUGCUUAUGAAAUGAGUAUGUGUGUUGAGAGGCCGGAUGCAAGGCCAUUUUGUGGAGUAAAUAGUUUUGAUUUGCAGGUCUUCUAUUCCGGUUGUUUUUGCUCUAGUAGCUUAAAGGUGUAUCAACUUCUCUUUACUGCUACUAUCUUGUUAUUGCUUAUCUGUUUAGUUCCAAAUGUGUACUGUAGCUUCUGAUUGGAAAUAUGUGCUUACCAACUGUGACAUGUUCUAAACAAUUUGUUAUGGGAAGCAGUAGGAUAAUUAUGAUUCUUGUCAAGUGUCAUCCUUUCGUGUAUAUUGCAGAGUAUUUUUUUCCAAUUAGCUAAUUUUCUCUGCUAGUGUCAUCCUUGUUAUUAUGAUACUUAUCCCUGCCAGUCUCAUCCUUUCCUGUAUAGUAGUCGAUUAAUUGAUUUCAUAAUGCUUUCUUUUGACAUUUGUUCUUUGAUUUCUCAACUAGCAUAUUUUCCCAAAAAAAAAAUAAAAAUUAAUUCUCGAUAGGAUAGGGGUUGAUAGUGUUUGUAGAAGAUACUAUCUUUAUAAUUUGUUCUUCUGUCUGUGCCCUGUGUCUUGAUUAGGUCUAACUUUUUGGUAUGUGAUUUUCACCAGUCUUGUUUCAUAUAAAGGUUGUAGUGGAUUAGGACUUCGGUGUCAUACAGUCCCCUUGUAUAUUACCCUAUUUGCGGACUUCAUGCUUGGUAGUAUGCUAAAAUAAUGCAAUUCUAUGCAGGGCCUAUGUUUUUAUUGAUGUUUCAGUUGCCUUCUAUCCCCUCCCUACAUAUGUCUGUCGUUUUUUAAAUCUCGCUGUGUAUUCUUUGUUUUUAGAUUUCAGAUGUUUGAAUCUUCUUGGGUCUUAAAAUGAGCAAUGUGUUGUAAAACAUUGGAAUACUUGCUAUUAUGUGCUUCAUUUCCUGGAUUGCUGACAAUUACAAGUGAUUCUGCUAAGAUGUUUGAAUGGCAUUCUGGAUUUAUUAGGAUUGAUACUUGACCUGUUGUCUUGGUGACUUACUUUGCAGCUUAUUGUUGUGUAUUGCCGCAUUAUGUGUAGUGUUACUUUCCGUGUAACUGUUUCAAAUUACUAUUUGAUUGUAAGAUGAUUAAUUGUGUGUACUGCUUUUCCCUUUUCAUACUUCAUUAGGUAUAUAGCAAAUUUCUACAUAAUUGCUUCAGAUGGCAUAUGAUUAACAUAACUUUUGAAUAAUUUUCAGAGUGAUCCUUGCUAGUUGGAAUAUGGAAUUCUAAUUUUGCAUUAGCUGACUGCAUCAGAGAACCUAGGGUAUUAUGGAAGCCUGCUCUUUUCCAACUUUAUUAUGUGUGUUCUAAUCUUCUUGAAAAUGAUCUUUAUUCCUACUUCCUUUGUUCCUUAAGUAUCAUGUGGCAUAUGGCUGACAUCUUUUGCGUUACUUUUUUUAUAAAUGAUUCAUGUAUUUCACUUAUGGAAUUCUUAAUUUUCAUUGACAAACCAUAGUAUAAGAAAAUGAUUAUGUUGCAUCUGAGAACUUAGGUUAUCAUAGGGAAGCCUGAUUUUGCAUUUAGCUGACCAUAUGAGGAUGAUGUUUUUACAUGGGAACUCUGUAGUGGACUCUUCUUGCUUGUAUGAUCUUGUCUUGAAUCUUGAUUCUGGAUUUCCUUUGCUCUUGCAAAUAAGUUUGCUGUGUUAUGAGUCUGCAUGUGUUUGUUUACCUUUUCUUUCCUUGUAAAAUGUGAGCAGAAAGACAGACAUGAAGAGUUCUAGUAAUGAGGAUUCUCUAAAAUUGUGGAGCAUGCUGUUGCAGGUAAAUAUAUGAGUCCUGGAGUCUCAGGCACUUGAGAACUUUAGUUGACCUAAAUGAAGAAUCAUCUUAUGCUUGAAUUCACCCUUGAUAUGUAGCUGUGAUGGAGUGGGCAAUAUAGCAUAAGGUCGAGUUUGCUAAUUUGAUCUACAUACAUUGAGUGCUCUGGAUAUGACGCAUGUUGGAUAGUUGAGAUUACAAGUUCAUCCUGAUCUAGAGAUGCACGUUUCCCCUUGGUAGCAGUCGAGUUGUGAAGUUUAUUAUCUGUUAUCGUCGAUAGCUCAGUGAUCGUCCUAGCAUAAUUGGCCGUCUCUUGCCCGAAGAUCUUUGAGUCCAUUGACACCCAAUUCAAAAUGGAGCAUCUCGUAGAGAAAAAGUGCUUUGUUCGGAUCUCUGAGCCUCCUCGGGCAGCCCUCCUCUGGAAAUAUUUUGUUUUGAUAUAUCAUGUUGAAUAAAUGAAAAUUAACUAUUAAUUCCAUGAAUCUGAAUUGUAAUGACAAUUAGUUCCAUACCAUGAAUCUUUAUCAACAUGGCCUUUUGGUUUCUAUUGCCAUUAAAUUGAGAAUAUUGGUGCCAAUUUCACUGUCUUACUUUUGUCAAAA
This is a long non-coding RNA of Salvia splendens (bonfire salvia), 5326 nucleotides long. RefSeq lists it as uncharacterized. The record is from RefSeq and is a predicted model, not a curated record. Lineage: Eukaryota; Viridiplantae; Streptophyta; Magnoliopsida; Lamiales; Lamiaceae. The transcript has 2 exons.